GGGCGCAAGCCUGAUGCAGCCAUGCCGCGUGUAUGAAGAAGGCCUUCGGGUUGUAAAGUACUUUCAGCGGGGAGGAAGGCGGUGAGGUUAAUAACCUCGCCGAUUGACGUUACCCGCAGAAGAAGCACCGGCUAACUCCGUGCCAGCAGCCGCGGUAAUACGGAGGGUGCAAGCGUUAAUCGGAAUUACUGGGCGUAAAGCGCACGCAGGCGGUCUGUUAAGUCAGAUGUGAAAUCCCCGGGCUUAACCUGGGAACUGCAUUUGAAACUGGCAGGCUUGAGUCUCGUAGAGGGGGGUAGAAUUCCAGGUGUAGCGGUGAAAUGCGUAGAGAUCUGGAGGAAUACCGGUGGCGAAGGCGGCCCCCUGGACGAAGACUGACGCUCAGGUGCGAAAGCGUGGGGAGUAAACAGGAUUAGAUACCCUGGUAGUCCACGCCGUAAACGAUGUCGACUUGGAGGUUGUGCCCUUGAGGCGUGGCUUCCGGAGCUAACGCGUUAAGUCGACCGCCUGGGGAGUACGGCCGCA
This 525-nucleotide ribosomal RNA is filed under the name Pantoea dispersa. RNAcentral describes it as "bacterial SSU rRNA". It matches the Rfam family "Bacterial small subunit ribosomal RNA", at positions 373 to 890 of the family's 1533-position model. Lineage: Bacteria; Pseudomonadati; Pseudomonadota; Gammaproteobacteria; Enterobacterales; Erwiniaceae. The record is from RNAcentral.